UGUACCAUAUGAUCCGAAUGC
Molecule: non-coding RNA, 21 nt
Filed under: Arabidopsis thaliana (thale cress)
Lineage: Eukaryota; Viridiplantae; Streptophyta; Magnoliopsida; Brassicales; Brassicaceae
Source: RNAcentral